GGAUGUGAAGGCGAGCUGGCUGCGACAUCUGUCACCCAACUGAUUGCUAGGGUUGAUCUGGCUGAUCUGGCUGGUUAGGAGGGUAUCCCCUCUUCCUCCCUCAACGAUCCAUGUGCGUCCGUCCCCAAGUAUGCUCUAGUAUAAAUCAGUUGACUCAUAAAUACAAUUCCUAAAUUAUAUAAGUAAGUUCAUAAUUUACAUCUCAUUUUGGGUAUGUGCUAUCUUUCUAACUAAG
Molecule: small nuclear RNA, 235 nt
Filed under: Cavia porcellus (domestic guinea pig)
Lineage: Eukaryota; Metazoa; Chordata; Mammalia; Rodentia; Caviidae
Description: 7SK RNA
Rfam family: 7SK RNA
About the family: 7SK was discovered as an abundant small nuclear RNA in the mid-70s but a possible function has only recently been suggested. Two independent studies have found that 7SK RNA binds the CDK9/cyclin T complex (known as elongation factor P-TEFb).
Source: Rfam by way of RNAcentral